AAGAGCAUCUCCCAGGAUGAAUGUUCUGAGCAACUCACUUUGGGACAUGUUGACUUUAGUCACUGGGUUAACAGAACACCUGAGUAAGGAACAGAUGACCUUGUUGUGUUCUAUGCGGUGGAUGAGGACUCGGAGAACUACUGAGGAGGAAGUUAUUUUCCUCCUCAUUACAAAUGCCAGGGACAGCUUUUAGAAGGAAGGGCCCUCCAUGGAAGGGCUACAGAGUACAAGGCCAGAGAACACCAGGAAAGUCACAAGGAAAGUCACAUAGUGGCUGAAAGGAGGAUGGGGCAAAGACGCAGCGAUGCCAACAUCACCUCACUGUUUGACUACAGCCAGGCCUGGCUGUGGAGGACACCUGCCUCUGUGACAGAGGGCUGAUACAGUGACAAAGGGAUGAUAAUACUCAAGGAAGUCUCAGAGGAAGUGAUACCUUGAGCUGGUUCAUCUUAACUGGGAAUGUUUCCACAAGAUUUCAAGUGACGCAGCUGGUAUGAACUAUUGAAUGUAACUGGUAUGAGGUAUUGUGCAUGACAAGAGCACCGGAUACAGAUGCAUAAAAAAGGGGAUGAAUA
This is a long non-coding RNA of Tupaia belangeri chinensis (Chinese tree shrew), 575 nucleotides long. RefSeq lists it as uncharacterized. Lineage: Eukaryota; Metazoa; Chordata; Mammalia; Scandentia; Tupaiidae. The transcript has 3 exons. The record is from RefSeq and is a predicted model, not a curated record.